GAAAAAANUCUUUCCUCGGUG
This 21-nucleotide transfer RNA is filed under the name Hypsiscopus murphyi. Its description in RNAcentral is "partial tRNA-Lys". Lineage: Eukaryota; Metazoa; Chordata; Lepidosauria; Squamata; Homalopsidae. The record is from RNAcentral.